RNAcentral lists this ribosomal RNA (2337 nucleotides) under Paraburkholderia fungorum. RNAcentral's name for it is "23S ribosomal RNA". It matches the Rfam family "Bacterial large subunit ribosomal RNA", at positions 588 to 2925 of the family's 2925-position model. Lineage: Bacteria; Pseudomonadati; Pseudomonadota; Betaproteobacteria; Burkholderiales; Burkholderiaceae. The record is from RNAcentral.
AAGGGGUGACGGCGUACCUUUUGUAUAAUGGGUCAGCGACUUACAUUCAGUGGCAAGCUUAACCGAUUAGGGCAGGCGUAGCGAAAGCGAGUCCGAACAGGGCGAUUCAGUCGCUGGGUGUAGACCCGAAACCAGGUGAUCUAUCCAUGGCCAGGAUGAAGGUGCGGUAACACGUACUGGAGGUCCGAACCCACUAACGUUGAAAAGUUAGGGGAUGAGCUGUGGAUAGGGGUGAAAGGCUAAACAAACCUGGAAAUAGCUGGUUCUCUCCGAAAACUAUUUAGGUAGUGCCUCGUGUAUCACCUUCGGGGGUAGAGCACUGUCAUGGUUGUGGGGUCCAUUGCGGAUUACUACGCCAUAGCAAACUCCGAAUACCGAAGAGUGCAAUCACGGGAGACAGACAUCGGGUGCUAACGUCCGGUGUCAAGAGGGAAACAACCCAGACCGCCAGCUAAGGUCCCCAAAUAUUGCUAAGUGGGAAACGAAGUGGGAAGGCUAAAACAGUCAGGAGGUUGGCUUAGAAGCAGCCAUCCUUUAAAGAAAGCGUAAUAGCUCACUGAUCGAGUCGUCCUGCGCGGAAGAUGUAACGGGGCUAAGCAAUAUACCGAAGCUGCGGAUGCACAUUUAUGUGCAUGGUAGGAGAGCGUUCCGUAAGCCUGCGAAGGUGCAUUGAAAAGUGUGCUGGAGGUAUCGGAAGUGCGAAUGCUGACAUGAGUAGCGAUAAAGGGGGUGAAAGGCCCCCUCGCCGUAAGCCCAAGGUUUCCUACGCAACGUUCAUCGGCGUAGGGUGAGUCGGCCCCUAAGGCGAGGCAGAAAUGCGUAGCUGAUGGGAAGCAGGUUAAUAUUCCUGCACCAUUGUUAAAUGCGAUGGGGGGACGGAUCGCGGAAGGUUGUCCGGGUGUUGGAAGUCCCGGUCCUUGCAUUGGAGAAGGCGCUUAGGCAAAUCCGGGCGCGGAAUUCAAGGGUGCGAGGCCAUUCACUUAGGUGAAGAAGCAAUCGGAAGUGGUUCCAAGAAAAGCCUCUAAGCUUCAGUUUAACAGGACCGUACCGCAAACCGACACAGGUGGGCGAGAUGAGUAUUCUAAGGCGCUUGAGAGAACUCGGGAGAAGGAACUCGGCAAAUUGGUACCGUAACUUCGGGAUAAGGUACGCCCCUGUAGCUUGAUGCCCCUGCGGGCAGAGGGUGAAGGGGUUGCAAUAAACUGGUGGCUGCGACUGUUUAAUAAAAACACAGCACUCUGCAAACACGAAAGUGGACGUAUAGGGUGUGACGCCUGCCCGGUGCCGGAAGAUUAAAUGAUGGGGUGCAAGCUCUUGAUUGAAGUCCCGGUAAACGGCGGCCGUAACUAUAACGGUCCUAAGGUAGCGAAAUUCCUUGUCGGGUAAGUUCCGACCUGCACGAAUGGCGUAACGAUGGCCACACUGUCUCCUCCCGAGACUCAGCGAAGUUGAAGUGUUUGUGAUGAUGCAAUCUCCCCGCGGCUAGACGGAAAGACCCCAUGAACCUUUACUGUAGCUUUGCAUUGGACUUUGAACCGAUCUGUGUAGGAUAGGUGGGAGGCUAUGAAGCGUGGACGCCAGUCUGCGUGGAGCCGUCCUUGAAAUACCACCCUGGUUUGUUUGAGGUUCUAACCUUGGUCCGUAAUCCGGAUCGGGGACAGUGCAUGGUAGGCAGUUUGACUGGGGCGGUCUCCUCCCAAAGUGUAACGGAGGAGUACGAAGGUACGCUAGGUACGGUCGGAAAUCGUGCUGAUAGUGCAAUGGCAUAAGCGUGCUUAACUGCGAGACCGACAAGUCGAGCAGGUGCGAAAGCAGGUCAUAGUGAUCCGGUGGUUCUGUAUGGAAGGGCCAUCGCUCAACGGAUAAAAGGUACUCUGGGGAUAACAGGCUGAUACCGCCCAAGAGUUCAUAUCGACGGCGGUGUUUGGCACCUCGAUGUCGGCUCAUCUCAUCCUGGGGCUGUAGCCGGUCCCAAGGGUAUGGCUGUUCGCCAUUUAAAGAGGUACGUGAGCUGGGUUUAAAACGUCGUGAGACAGUUUGGUCCCUAUCUGCCGUGGGCGCUGGAUAUUUGAAGGGGGCUGCUCCUAGUACGAGAGGACCGGAGUGGACGAACCUCUGGUGUACCGGUUGUCACGCCAGUGGCAUCGCCGGGUAGCUAUGUUCGGAAGAGAUAACCGCUGAAAGCAUCUAAGCGGGAAACUCGCCUUAAGAUGAGAUAUCCCCGGGGCUUCGAGCCCCUUGAAGGGUCGUUCAAGACCAGGACGUUGAUAGGUCAGGUGUGGAAGCGCAGUAAUGCGUUAAGCUAACUGAUACUAAUUGCCCGUAAGGCUUGAUCCU